UGGGUGAUCUGCCCUGCACUUUGGGAUAAGCCUGGGAAACUGGGUCUAAUACCGAAUACACCUUGCUGGCUGCAUGGCCUGGUGGGGGAAAGCUUUUGCGGUGUGGGAUGGGCCCGCGGCCUAUCAGCUUGUUGGUGGGGUGAUGGCCUACAAGGCGACGACGGGUAGCCGGCCUGAGAGGGUGUCCGGCCACACUGGGACUGAGAUACGGCCCAGACUCCUACGGAGCA
Molecule: ribosomal RNA, 230 nt
Filed under: uncultured bacterium
Lineage: Bacteria
Description: partial 16S ribosomal RNA
Rfam family: Bacterial small subunit ribosomal RNA
Source: RNAcentral